UUUSGCUCCUCAGCGUCAGUAUCGGCCCAGAGAACGGCCUUCGCCACCGGCGUUCCUCCUGAUAUCUGCGCAUUUCACCGCUUCACCAGGAAUUCCGAUCUCCCCUACCGAACUCUAGCCUGCCCGUAUCGAAUGCAGACCCGGGGUUAAGCCCCGGGNUUUCACAUCCGACGUGACAAGCCGCCUACGAGCUCUUUACGCCCAAUAAUUCCGGACAACGCUCGCACCCUACGUAUUACCGCGGCUGCUGGCACGUAGUUAGCCGGUGCUUCUUCUGCAGGUACCGUCGCUUUCGCUUCUUCCCUGCUGAAAGAGGUUUACAACCCGAAGGCCGUCAUCCCUCACGCGGCGUCGCUGCAUCAGGCUUUCGCCCAUUGUGCAAUACUCCCCACUGCUGCCUCCCGUAGGAGUCUGGGCCGUGUCUCAGUCCCAGUGUGGCCGGUCGCCCUCUCAGGCCGGCUACCCGUCGUCGCCUUGGUAGGCCAUCACCCCACCAACAAGCUGAUAGGCCGCGGGCUCAUCCUGCACCGCCGGAGCUUUCCACCACCAGACCAUGUGGCUGGUGAUCAUAUCCGGUAUUAGACCCCGUUUCCAGGGCUUGU
RNAcentral lists this ribosomal RNA (602 nucleotides) under uncultured Streptomyces sp. RNAcentral's name for it is "partial 16S ribosomal RNA". Lineage: Bacteria; Bacillati; Actinomycetota; Actinomycetes; Kitasatosporales; Streptomycetaceae. The record is from RNAcentral.